Molecule: long non-coding RNA, 815 nt
Filed under: Homo sapiens (human)
Lineage: Eukaryota; Metazoa; Chordata; Mammalia; Primates; Hominidae
Description: HSALNT0300354
Source: RNAcentral
AUCGGGAUGGCCCUUUGACAACGUCUGACCUCUGAGAAAAGAGGACCAAGAGUAUGUACCCCUUUCAUUCACCAAUAAUGGGACAUGUGCUGCCCCAAAAAGGGGCAUAUCCUUGGGCGAGAAGGACUUCUUUGAGGGCGAUAUCUGAAGGAUUCAGCUGAGUGCAGCCAGCCUCUACUGCCCUCAAUGAAACCGCCUUUGCAAAAAUUAUAAAUGAGGAAAUUAUAACAGUGAAAGAGGUGAGACCUAAUUGGCUCCACCUUGCUUCUAACCUUUAAGCUGCCUUUGUUUAUUCCUGGGCGUAGGCAGAACUAACCUUGGGAAGGAAUUUAGUUUCUACUUUAACUCUGAAACAAAAUUGAUACUAGCCCUUUCCCAAAAUUGAUAAUAGCCCUUUCCCCCUUCUUGCCUGGGGGACCAGUCUGCCUUUGUAGGACUAACAAAUUGGAUACAAGAUUAUAAAUUACAGCUUAAGGUCCAUGCAGCCUCUAGCCGCAAGAGUCUGAACUUCCCCAAAUUGCUCCUGGGAAUGACAUCACUGUUGUAAAACCUAAGAUCAGUUCUUGAGAUAUUUUUCAGACCCUGCACUUGAUGCACCAGCUGACACCACCCAGACCAGUAAUCUGGCUCAACCAGUUCUGCGAUCCUACUCAGGAAGUGAAGACAGCAAGAAAAAUUCACUUCGACCCCCUGUGAUUCCAUCUCCAACCCAACCAAUAAGCACUCCCCACUUUCCGAGCCCCUACCCACCAAAUUAUCCUUAAAAACUCUGAUCCCCAAAUUCUUGAGGAGACUUAUUUGAGUAAUAAUAAAAC